Molecule: long non-coding RNA, 913 nt
Filed under: Capsicum annuum
Lineage: Eukaryota; Viridiplantae; Streptophyta; Magnoliopsida; Solanales; Solanaceae
Description: long non-coding RNA (CANN_LNC002660)
Source: RNAcentral
GGGAAAAGUCAUAUCAUUUGAAGUAAAGAAAGCUGAUAGUAGGAGUGGUUUAUAUGUUAGAUCUGUCAGGUUAGUUUUAGUGUUUACAUUUUCAAAGAUAGGAGCUAGUAAAAAGGGCACUGCUUUUACUCAAGAAGGUGAGAGUGGAAAGAAGGGGAAUACCAUUCAAGCUAGAGUAAUCCACAGGAACAUGGCUUGGGAAAAGUCAUAUCAUUUUAAGUAAAGAAAGCUGAUAGUAGGAGUGGUUUAUAUGUUAGAUCUGUCAGGUUAGUUUUAGUGUUUACAUUUUCAAAGAUAGGAGCUAGUAAAAAGGGCACUGCUUUUACUCAAGGACUUCAAGAACUUGUACAUGUUGCAGUUAUCUUCACCUUAAAGUUUUUUUUUUUUUUGAAAGAUGUCUUCACUUUAGAUACGAAUUGCAGCAAUAAGGUUACUGCAGCUAUUGUCCUUGGAUUGGGCAAAAAAGGCUGAGAGACGAGUAUUCUCGUCCUUGAACCUAGAGGAGAACAUUUGAUGUCAAUAUUCAAUGUUAUAAGCAAUAGUCCUCUCUCCUCCCUGUGGUUUCUUCUUAGAUGGUUGGAUUUAGUUGUGACAUUACUCAUAUGUACAAGUGGCAGAAAGCACCAAUAUUUGAGCCAUUGCUGGAGUGAUGAUCACAUUCUUCUCAAUAAUGAGUCAUAGCAUGAGCAAAUCUAAUGGUUGAAUGAAGAAAAGUCUCAGUUCCUUAACCACUUUCCCAGUUUUCUGCACAUUUCUUUCAUUAUGUUUGUAAUUGUGUCAUGAAAUCGCAACAUUAUUCUCUAUUCAUCACAAUACCGAAUUUCUUCCUUCUUUUCUAGAUUAAAGAAAGAAAAAUCGACAAAUUUGGGUGGUUCACCUCACCACAAAACUGAAUUCGAAAACAGUAAUUAAG